GACGAACGCUGGCGGCGUGCCUAACACAUGCAAGUGGAGCGACGAACCAGGCUUCGGCCUGGGGCAAAGCCGCGAACGGGUGAGUAACACGUGGGUAACCUGCCCUGAUGAUUGGGACAACCGAGGAAACUCGGGCUAAUACCAAAUGUGCCCUUCGGCCACAAGGCCGCUGGGGAAAGGAAGCUUCGGCCUCCGCAUCUGGAUGGGCCCGCGGCCCAUUAGCUUGUUGGUGAGGUAACGCUCACCAAGGCGACGAUGGGUAGCUGGUCUGAGAGGACGAUCAGCC
RNAcentral lists this ribosomal RNA (286 nucleotides) under uncultured bacterium. Its description in RNAcentral is "partial 16S ribosomal RNA". It matches the Rfam family "Bacterial small subunit ribosomal RNA", at positions 28 to 309 of the family's 1533-position model. The record is from RNAcentral.